RNAcentral lists this ribosomal RNA (253 nucleotides) under uncultured bacterium. Its description in RNAcentral is "partial 16S ribosomal RNA". It matches the Rfam family "Bacterial small subunit ribosomal RNA", at positions 524 to 776 of the family's 1533-position model. The record is from RNAcentral.
UACGUAGGGUGCAAGCGUUAAUCGGAAUUACUGGGCGUAAAGCGUGCGCAGGCGGUGAUGUAAGACAGGUGUGAAAUCCCCGGGCUUAACCUGGGAACUGCGCUUGUUACUGGCAGGCUUGAGUGUGGCAGAGGGGGGUGGAAUUCCACGUGUAGCAGUGAAAUGCGUAGAUAUCUGGAGGAACACCGGUGGCGAAGGCGGCAUCCUGGACCGGUAUUGACGCUGAGGCGCGAAAGCUAGGGGAGCAAACGGG